GGUUAAGUGACUAAGCGUACACGGUGGAUGCCUAGGCAGUCAGAGGCGAUGAAGGACGUGCUAAUCUGCGAUAAGCGUCGGUGAGCUGAUAUGAAGCGUUAUUAGCCGGCGAUGUCCGAAUGGGGAAACCCAGUGCAAUCCGUUGCACUAUCGUUAAGUGAAUCCAUAGCUUAACGAGGCGAACCAGGGGAACUGAAACAUCUAAGUACCCUGAGGAAAAGAAAUCAACCGAGAUUCCCCCAGUAGCGGCGAGCGAACGGGGAAGAGCCCAGAACCUGAAUCAGUUUGUGCAUUAGUGGAAGCGUCUGGAAAGUCGCGCGAUACAGGGUGAUAGCCCCGUACACGAAGGUGCACAGCUGUGAGUUCGAUGAGUAGGGCGGGACACGUGUUAUCCUGUCUGAAUAUGGGGGGACCAUCCUCCAAGGCUAAAUACUCCUGACUGACCGAUAGUGAACCAGUACCGUGAGGGAAAGGCGAAAAGAACCCCGGCGAGGGGAGUGAAAUAGAACCUGAAACCGUGUACGUACAAGCAGUGGGAGCACCUUUUGGGUGUGACUGCGUACCUUUUGUAUAAUGGGUCAGCGACUUAUAUUUUGUAGCAAGGUUAACCGAAUAGGGGAGCCGUAGGGAAACCGAGUCUUAACUGGGCGUCUAGUUGCAAGGUAUAGACCCGAAACCCGGUGAUCUAGCCAUGGGCAGGUUGAAGGUUGGGUAACACUAACUGGAGGACCGAACCGACUAAUGUUGAAAAAUUAGCGGAUGACUUGUGGCUGGGGGUGAAAGGCCAAUCAAACCGGGAGAUAGCUGGUUCUCCCCGAAAGCUAUUUAGGUAGCGCCUCGUGAACUCAUCUUCGGGGGUAGAGCACUGUUUCGGCUAGGGGGUCAUCCCGACUUACCAACCCGAUGCAAACUACGAAUACCGAAGAAUGUUAUCACGGGAGACACACGGCGGGUGCUAACGUCCGUCGUGAAGAGGGAAACAACCCAGACCGCCAGCUAAGGUCCCAAAGUCAUGGUUAAGUGGGAAACGAUGUGGGAAGGCACAGACAGCCAGGAUGUUGGCUUAGAAGCAGCCAUCAUUUAAAGAAAGCGUAAUAGCUCACUGGUCGAGUCGGCCUGCGCGGAAGAUGUAACGGGGCUAAACCAUGCACCGAAGCUGCGGCAGCGACGCUUAGGCGUUGUUGGGUAGGGGAGCGUUCUGUAAGCCGUUGAAGGUGGCCUGUGAGGGCUGCUGGAGGUAUCAGAAGUGCGAAUGCUGACAUAAGUAACGAUAAAGCGGGUGAAAAGCCCGCUCGCCGGAAGACCAAGGGUUCCUGUCCAACGUUAAUCGGGGCAGGGUAAGUCGACCCCUAAGGCGAGGCCGAAAGGCGUAGUCGAUGGGAAACAGGUUAAUAUUCCUGUACUUGGUGUUAUUGCGAAGGGGGGACGGAGAAGGCUAGGCCGGCCGGGCGACGGUUGUCCCGGUUUAAGCGUGUAGGUGUGAUGACCUGGCAAAUCCGGUUAUCUUUAACACUGAGGCGUGAUGACGAGGCACUACGGUGCUGAAGUGGUUAAUGCCCUGCUUCCAGGAAAAGCCUCUAAGCUCCAGAUAACACUGAAUCGUACCCCAAACCGACACAGGUGGUCAGGUAGAGAAUACCAAGGCGCUUGAGAGAACUCGGGUGAAGGAACUAGGCAAAAUGGUGCCGUAACUUCGGGAGAAGGCACGCUGGCAUGUAGGUGAAGUCCCUUGCGGAUGGAGCCGAAGCCAGUCGAAGAUACCAGCUGGCUGCAACUGUUUAAUAAAAACACAGCACUCUGCAAACACGAAAGUGGACGUAUAGGGUGUGACGCCUGCCCGGUGCUGGAAGGUUAAUUGAUGGGGUCAGCCGCAAGGCGAAGCUCUUGAUCGAAGCCCCAGUAAACGGCGGCCGUAACUAUAACGGUCCUAAGGUAGCGAAAUUCCUUGUCGGGUAAGUUCCGACCUGCACGAAUGGCGUAAUGAUGGCCAGGCUGUCUCCACCCGAGACUCAGUGAAAUUGAACUCGCUGUGAAGAUGCAGUGUACCCGCGGCAAGACGGAAAGACCCCGUGAACCUUUACUAUAGCUUGACACUGAACAUUGAACCUUGAUGUGUAGGAUAGGUGGGAGGCUUUGAAGUGUGGACGCCAGUCUGCAUGGAGCCGACCUUGAAAUACCACCCUUUAAUGUUUGAUGUUCUAACCUGGUCCCGUGAUCCGGGAUAGGGACAGUGUCUGGUGGGUAGUUUGACUGGGGCGGUCUCCUCCCAAAGAGUAACGGAGGAGCACGAAGGUUAGCUAAUCCUGGUCGGACAUCAGGAGGUUAGUGCAAAGGCAUAAGCUAGCUUGACUGCGAGAGUGACGGCUCGAGCAGGUGCGAAAGCAGGUCUUAGUGAUCCGGUGGUUCUGAAUGGAAGGGCCAUCGCUCAACGGAUAAAAGGUACUCCGGGGAUAACAGGCUGAUACCGCCCAAGAGUUCAUAUCGACGGCGGUGUUUGGCACCUCGAUGUCGGCUCAUCACAUCCUGGGGCUGAAGUAGGUCCCAAGGGUAUGGCUGUUCGCCAUUUAAAGUGGUACGCGAGCUGGGUUUAGAACGUCGUGAGACAGUUCGGUCCCUAUCUGCCGUGGGCGUUGGAAGAUUGAGAGGGGCUGCUCCUAGUACGAGAGGACCGGAGUGGACGCACCGCUGGUGUUCGGGUUGUGAUGCCAAUUGCAUUGCCCGGUAGCUACGUGCGGAAAAGAUAAGCGCUGAAAGCAUCUAAGCGCGAAACUUGCCUCGAGAUGAGUCUUCCCUUGGACCUUGAGUCCACUGAAGGAACGUUUAAGACUAAGACGUUGAUAGGCUGGGUGUGUAAGCGUAGCGAUACGUUGAGCUAACCAGUACUAAUGAUCCGAGAGGCUUAACCUU
Molecule: ribosomal RNA, 2907 nt
Filed under: Edwardsiella ictaluri
Lineage: Bacteria; Pseudomonadati; Pseudomonadota; Gammaproteobacteria; Enterobacterales; Hafniaceae
Description: 23S ribosomal RNA
Rfam family: Bacterial large subunit ribosomal RNA
Source: RNAcentral